Molecule: transfer RNA, 74 nt
Filed under: Planctomycetia bacterium
Lineage: Bacteria; Pseudomonadati; Planctomycetota; Planctomycetia
Description: tRNA-Arg
Rfam family: tRNA
About the family: Transfer RNA (tRNA) molecules are approximately 80 nucleotides in length. Their secondary structure includes four short double-helical elements and three loops (D, anti-codon, and T loops). Further hydrogen bonds mediate the characteristic L-shaped molecular structure. tRNAs have two regions of fundamental functional importance: the anti-codon, which is responsible for specific mRNA codon recognition, and the 3' end, to which the tRNAs corresponding amino acid is attached (by aminoacyl-tRNA synthetases). tRNAs cope with the degeneracy of the genetic code in two manners: having more than one tRNA (with a specific anti-codon) for a particular amino acid; and 'wobble' base-pairing, i.e. permitting non-standard base-pairing at the 3rd anti-codon position.
Source: RNAcentral
GCUCUCGUAGCUCAGGUGGAUAGAGCGACGGUUUCCUAAACCGUAGGUCGCUGGUUCAAGUCCAGUCGAGGGUG